AGAGAGGAGGUAACCAAGCCUGACAAUAUCUCUGUUAGGGCUGCAUGACACUUUGAACAUAAUCUAAUAAUGACAGUAUUGAUUUUGGAGGCAAAGUAGUGAUUGAAGGGAAAUCUUUAUUUAGAAGUCAAUAGUGAGGGAGAAUGACUCCCAUACCAACCCAAGAAAAAUGCAGACACUUCUUCUAGCUGAAUCCUCCAACCCCAGCUGAGUUUCUUCUGAUGCUGGCAUUUCCAAUUCUAGCUUACUAUCCACUUCUACCUCAAGAGGUGUGUGUGGUCAGUCUAACAGAGACUGACAAGAUUGCAAGCAAAGCCCACUGGAAGUGAGUGUAAGAGAUGAUGGAACUGGAAGUCCAAUACAGGUUUUUAACAGGUUAGAUUUGGCACCAAAUCACGCAAGG
Long non-coding RNA from Chrysemys picta bellii (western painted turtle), 403 nucleotides. RefSeq lists it as uncharacterized. Lineage: Eukaryota; Metazoa; Chordata; Testudines; Emydidae. The record is from RefSeq and is a predicted model, not a curated record.